Molecule: ribosomal RNA, 253 nt
Filed under: uncultured bacterium
Lineage: Bacteria
Description: partial 16S ribosomal RNA
Rfam family: Bacterial small subunit ribosomal RNA
Source: RNAcentral
UACGGAGGGUGCGAGCGUUGUCCGGAAUCAUUGGGCGUAAAGGGCGCGUAGGUGGCGGGACAAGCGUGCGGUGAAAGCUCGGGGCUCAACCCCGAGUCGGCCGUGCGAACUGUUUUGCUGGAGCACUGUAGAGGCAGGCGGAAUUCCGGGUGUAGCGGUGGAAUGCGUAGAGAUCCGGAAGAACACCGGUGGCGAAGGCGGCCUGCUGGGCAGUGGCUGACACUGAGGCGCGACAGCGUGGGGAGCAAACAGG